GCAUAUCAAUAAGCGGAGGAAAAGAAACCAACAGGGAUUGCCCCAGUAACGGCGAGUGAAGCGGCAACAGCUCAAAUUUGAAAUCUGGCCCCAGGCCCGAGUUGUAAUUUGCAGAGGAUGCUUUUGGCGCGGUGCCUUCCGAGUUCCCUGGAACGGGACGCCAUAGAGGGUGAGAGCCCCGUACGGUUGGACACCAAGCCUUUGUAAAGCUCCUUCGACGAGUCGAGUAGUUUGGGAAUGCUGCUCAAAAUGGGAGGUAUAUUUCUUCUAAAGCUAAAUAUUGGCCAGAGACCGAUAGCGCACAAGUAGAGUGAUCGAAAGAUGAAAAGCACUUUGAAAAGAGGGUUAAACAGCACGUGAAAUUGUUGAAAGGGAAGCGCUUGUGACCAGACUUGCGCCCGGUGAAUCACCCAGCUCUCGCGGCUGGGGCACUUUGCCGGCACAGGCCAGCAUCAGCUCGCUGUCGGGGACAAAAGCUUCGGGAACGUAGCUCUCUUCGGGGAGUGUUAUAGCCCGUUGCAUAAUACCCUUCGGUGGGCUGAGGUACGCGCUCCGCAAGGAUGCUGGCGUAAUGGUCAUCAGCGACCCGUCUUGAAACACGGACCAAGGAGUCAACCUUAUGUGCGAGUGUUUGGGUGUCAAACCCCUACGCGUAAUGAAAGUGAACGCAGGUGAGAGCUUCGGCGCAUCAUCGACCGAUCCUGAUGUUCUCGGAUGGAUUUGAGUAAGAGCAUAUAGGGUUGGACCCGAAAGAAGGUGAACUAUGCGUGUAUAGGGUGAAGCCAGAGGAAACUCUGGUGGAGGCUCGCAGCGGUUCUGACGUGCAAAUCGAUCGUCAAAUAUGCGCAUGGGGGCGAAAGACUAAUCGAACCUUCUAGUAGCUGGUUCC
This 889-nucleotide ribosomal RNA is filed under the name Colletotrichum trichellum. RNAcentral describes it as "LSU rRNA". It matches the Rfam family "Eukaryotic large subunit ribosomal RNA", at positions 38 to 958 of the family's 3401-position model. Lineage: Eukaryota; Fungi; Ascomycota; Sordariomycetes; Glomerellales; Glomerellaceae. The record is from RNAcentral.